RNAcentral lists this long non-coding RNA (1708 nucleotides) under Carica papaya (papaya). RNAcentral describes it as "long non-coding RNA (CPAP_LNC006200)". Lineage: Eukaryota; Viridiplantae; Streptophyta; Magnoliopsida; Brassicales; Caricaceae. The record is from RNAcentral.
UGGAAUCAUUGGCAAAGACCCCCACACAUCCCUCUAUGCACAAGUCUUGGCACCUCCUGCCCCACGCCACUAAAUUUUGGUCGGGAACAUAUAUCCAAACGUGCGCUCUCUCUCUCUCUCUCUAUAUAUAUAUAUAUAUAUAUAUAUAUCACAUACAUAUACAUUCUGGACUAUAUGUAUGUAUCGUCGCAUGCAUGCACAUACAUAACAUAUCUAUGUGUGGAUGCUAAUAUGUGUAUAUAUAGCCAUCACGAGUUACAACCUUCCUUGCAUAUGCUUUGGCACAUGAUAUCCAAUCAAAUUCUAACUGAUUGAUGUACUGUUUAUACCAUGCCAAUUCUACUUUACCAUGAUAGAACCAACCAUUUUGGCGCCCUUCGAAAAUUGACAAAACAUAUACGUUGCCGGUUAAACCACAUGUAAAUAUCAUAUUAUUAACAUAAUCAUCACUAUAUUUUGCUUGGGAUAUCUGCACUUUUCCCCAUGGCUGCAACUCCUGUAUUCUUAACUUCGAUGGCCCCUAAUGAUCUUCAUCAUGAUCAACUUCAAUUCUCCGGCGACUCUCACUUUGCUCUUCACGGUGAGAUCAUGAUGCUUAUUCUUGUCUUGCUUUUUGUUAUCUUUCUCCUCUUCCUCUUCUUCCUUCUCUACACAAAACGCUUUCGAACUCAACCUAAAGAUGACUUGUCGACCUCCCAGCCCGAUUUACCAACCAAUCUUCCGAUGAUUCAGUUCAAUGGCGGGUGCAAGUGAGUACAAGACCUAUAACCCUUCAACAAAUAUAGAUAGAGCAUCAAUUAUAGCCUUGCUCAUAUACAUAUAUUUAUAUGUAUGUGUUUUUACAAUAUUAUUUAUAUAUCUGCCAUGAUUAAUUGGCUCAGUCCGUAUUGAAAGCUUAAUUUGUAAUUAAGUUAAGGUUAUAAUUAGUUAUCUCCCAUGAAUUAUGAUUCUUUCUAGCUAAAAGAGUAGACAAUUUUCAGUUAAUUAAUGGAGAAAAUGCAUAUGUAUGUAUACAAGACAAGAAAUUAAGAAAGAUUAAUUAAUUAAUUAAUUAAUUAAUCAAAUUAAUUAUUUGUGUUUUUAGAGUUCCGUGUGUGAUUGGGUAACUUACCACCACAAAAUUUGAUGAUGUAUACAAGAUGUUAGGUUGGUGGUACAACUUGUCAAUUGUAAGACAGACAGCCACCAUUUUCAUAUUUAGAUAUGAAGGUACGCUGAGGUGGCACCAAGUGAUUGGGUGGACGUACCAGAUAUUUUCUCUUUUCUCUCUCUAUUAUUGCUCAAGAACUGGACAUACAUACGUAUAUGUAUGUAUGUAUCUACGUACCAACAUGCCAAGGGACUUCCCUCCCACCCAAGAGGAUGGAUAUUUCUAUUAAUUCUCUACUUCUGUAUUGGGUUAAACCUUAAAAUGUAUUUAAAGUAUUAACUUCAAUCUUAUGUAGUUUGUAAGAUAAUAAACACAUACUACCUAUUAGAUUUUAUGCUAAGAAUGUACAAAAUAAACUUUUUCUAUUAGUUAACUUAUUUGUUUAAUUAUCAUCUUAAGACUUAUAUAUGUAAUGGUGUAAAUCAUUACUUAGUUAUAUUACACUGACAAAUGGCCUCUUAGCUCAGUUGGUUAGAGUAUUGUGCUAAUAACGCAAAUGUUAUUAUUAUUAUUAUUUUUUUUUACAUAAUUUAAUAGCAAAAUUAUAAAUGAUUCCAC